Molecule: ribosomal RNA, 458 nt
Filed under: uncultured Acholeplasma sp.
Lineage: Bacteria; Bacillati; Mycoplasmatota; Mollicutes; Acholeplasmatales; Acholeplasmataceae
Description: partial 16S ribosomal RNA
Rfam family: Bacterial small subunit ribosomal RNA
Source: RNAcentral
ACGGAAGGCAGCAGUAGGGAAUUUUCGGCAAUGGGGGAAACCCUGACCGAGCAACGCCGCGUGAAUGAUGAAGUAUUUCGGUAUGUAAAAUUCUUUUAUUAGGGACGAACGAUCCGAUUAGGAAAUGAGUUGGAAGUGACUGUACCUAAUGAAUAAGCCCCGGCUAACUACGUGCCAGCAGCCGCGGUAAUACGUAGGGGGCAAGCGUUAUCCGGAAUUAUUGGGCGUAAAGGGUGCGUAGGCGGCAAACUAAGUCUGAGGUGAAAGUGCGGGGCUCAACCCCGUGAUGCCUUGGAAACUGGUUAGCUAGAGUGUGGUAGAGGCAAGUGGAACUCCAUGUGUAGCGGUAAAAUGCGUAAAUAUAUGGAAGAACACCAGUGGCGAAGGCGGCUUGCUGGGCCAAGACUGACGCUGAGGCACGAAAGCGUGGGGAGCAAACAGGAUUAGAUACCCUGGUA